UACGUAGGUGGCAAGCGUUGUCCGGAUUUACUGGGCGUAAAGAGCGCGCAGGCGGUCGUUCAAGUCGCGUGUGAAAGCCCCCGGCUCAACUGGGGAGGGUCACGCGAUACUGAUCGACUCGAAGGCAGGAGAGGGUAGUGGAAUUCCCGGUGUAGUGGUGAAAUGCGUAGAUAUCGGGAGGAACACCAGUGGCGAAGGCGACUACCUGGCCUGUUCUGACGCUGAGGAGCGAAAGCGUGGGGAGCAAACAGG
RNAcentral lists this ribosomal RNA (252 nucleotides) under uncultured bacterium. RNAcentral's name for it is "partial 16S ribosomal RNA". It matches the Rfam family "Bacterial small subunit ribosomal RNA", at positions 524 to 776 of the family's 1533-position model. The record is from RNAcentral.